Molecule: transfer RNA, 73 nt
Filed under: Camelus bactrianus (Bactrian camel)
Lineage: Eukaryota; Metazoa; Chordata; Mammalia; Artiodactyla; Camelidae
Also listed under: 2 other names
Rfam family: tRNA
About the family: Transfer RNA (tRNA) molecules are approximately 80 nucleotides in length. Their secondary structure includes four short double-helical elements and three loops (D, anti-codon, and T loops). Further hydrogen bonds mediate the characteristic L-shaped molecular structure. tRNAs have two regions of fundamental functional importance: the anti-codon, which is responsible for specific mRNA codon recognition, and the 3' end, to which the tRNAs corresponding amino acid is attached (by aminoacyl-tRNA synthetases). tRNAs cope with the degeneracy of the genetic code in two manners: having more than one tRNA (with a specific anti-codon) for a particular amino acid; and 'wobble' base-pairing, i.e. permitting non-standard base-pairing at the 3rd anti-codon position.
Source: Rfam by way of RNAcentral
AGGGUUGUAGCUCAAGUGGUAGAGCACGUGCUUAGCACGCACGAGGUCCUGAGUUCAAUCCCCAGUACCUCCU